RNA transcript from Capsicum annuum, 3359 nucleotides. RefSeq lists it as uncharacterized. The record is from RefSeq and is a predicted model, not a curated record. Lineage: Eukaryota; Viridiplantae; Streptophyta; Magnoliopsida; Solanales; Solanaceae. The transcript is spliced from 5 exons.
UUUCUGGUGGAUCAAAUUUUUGGAAUCAAAUAUUUCAUUAUCUUCCCAAAAUACCCUUCUUUUAUUUUCCCUUUUUUUAUUCCUCAAAAUAUAAAUAUUUGAAUUAUUUUCUUUUUUCUUAUUUAUUAAUUUUUCUUCCCAAAUGACCAAACCCUAGAACACAAAAAAAAGAAUAAUUCCAUUUUCCCAAAUCCAAGAAAAACGAAAAAUUCCUUCGAUCAAUAACUUCACAAGCUAAAUAAUUGCAUCAAUUUCAAGAAAAGGGUGAUUAUUGGUUGUGGUGUUGAAUUAUAGAGUCAUGAGGUUUAAAAAAGGAAGUAAAGUCGAGGUGAUGAACAAGAAGGAUUCACCAGUAUCUUGGUGUCCUGCAGAGAUUGUCUCGGGUAAUGGACAUACGUACUCUGUAAGAUAUGAUUAUUAUCUGUCUGCGGAAAGCAAAGCGAGGGGUGAGAGGGUCUCGAGGAGGGAUAUCAGACCAUGUCCUCCUCCUUCGGAGGGUGUGGAGAAUGGGCAGCGUGGUCAAAUCAUUGAGGUGUUUGGUGACUGUUCUUGGAGAACUGCGAUUAUUGUGAAGGUUUUGGAUAGAGACUAUUAUUUGGUACAUCCGACUGGAUGUUCUCAGGAGAUUAGGGUUCAUAGAUCAAACACCAGAGUGCGACAAUGUUGGCAAGACGAGAAAUGGCACUUGAUUGGAAAGGGAUCUGGAACAUAUGCGAAACCUGACCAGCUUCCAACUCAGAAGCCUUCUAAAAAGGUGAGCGUGGUCUUAAGUGCUAGGAAUGGAUUCCAUGUUAGAGAUGGAGAUUUGGCUGCACAGAGAAGCUUUAAAAGGCAGAAGUAUAAUGCCAGCUCUUUGGUGUCGCUGAAGAGGGUGUCAGACGAAUCAUCUAGAAACAUUCAGGUGGUAGUGGCAGAUGACAGAGAUUUUAAGAGAAGGAAAAUAGUUCCGGCUGCCUUGGAGGGAAAGACACAUGAUAUUGCCAGGUGGAAAGGAAAUAGGAUAGAUGAAAAGUACGUGAGUGCUUCAUUUAACAAUUGGUCUGAUGGAUAUUUUGGAUUGAACCCUACAAAAAGACGUGGUAUCAAUGACUAUUACCCUGCAAGAAUUGGGGAAUCUAAUGAUUCUGAUAGUGAUGCAUGCUCCAUCGGUAGUUGUAGUAUUAAUCGUGACAGUCCAAAUAAAAUUUCUAGUUUUUCAGCUGAAGUUCAUUGUCAAGUACCUGAUCUUCUGUGCAGUGAUGCAGAGUCUUUUCAAAGUUCCGCAGAACAACAUGAGGAGGAAAGCUGCCGUCUUUCCUCGAAGCAGAAUGUAGCAGCAAAUAUUCGUGAGUUGGAGUUGCAUGCUUAUCGUUGCACUUUGGAGGCAUUGUAUGCUUCUGGUCCGUUGAGUUGGGAACAAGAAGCAUUAUUGACAAAUCUCCGCAUUGCACUCCAUAUUUCAAAUGAUGAACAUUUGACAGAGCUGAGGACUUUAAUUUCUUCUGGAACUGGGCGACAUUUGGAUGCAUGCAUCCUUUGCCUCCUAAAGUCCAAAGAUGAUGCUUGCAUUUGCAGCACCUCUCCUGGCCAUAGAGAGGACUCAUGCAACGUCUAUCUCAGAUAAGACAAUUCAUGGCUUGUUAUAUUACUGUUUUACAGCUUCAUGAUUUGUUUUGUCUGGUUAACUUCGACAUCUUUAGCCUGGUUUUGCCAAAAGGUAGUGAAUUUGUAAGAUAAUCAAAACUAUUCUGUAUGAUCUUAUGAUAUAUGUCUCUGUAUUGCAAGCUAUCAGAUUGAAGUUGUGCUUCUUUUCCCCCUAGUCAAUGAACGAACUUCCUGUGCAUACAGAGAAAAGUAUGUAUGGUCUUUCUAUAGACAUUAGUUAGGGAGAUAUCUAUUUUUUGUUGGCUAGUAUGGAGAGUUUUUACCGAAUGGAAGGCGGUUAAAAUUAAUGUCCAUGGCCAUAAUGCAACUAGCAGUGUUCGUAGCCUUUGUACUAACAGGGAUUAAUCUACACUGCAUAUGCAAAAACGUAUGCUUUGUGCUGGCAAUACAUUUUAGCAUUACUUCUGCCUGUAAAUGUAUAUUUGGAAAAUAUUUAGUAUAGCAAGGGUAAAAGUAAACGUGCUGUUUCCGGAUACAGUUCUUUUAGAUAUUUUAUUUUCUUAUCCCCGUAUUGAUUCAAAAGCUUGAAGCAAGGCAUUACUUGUUAUACUUCUAUGAUGUGAAGGACUAGUUAUUAUGAUCAAAUAUAAUGGAGAUUGUUAAUGACCAAAAGUUGCUGCUCAUCAUCUGAACUUUCUUGAAGAGGUUUCUGCUCGACUUAGGGUGUGUUUGGUACGACUGGAAAUAUUUUUCAGAGAGCAUUCUCAAGAAAUUAGUCAAUUUUUAGUACAGAUGAUGAUCCUUAUAAUGUUAAAAAGGAAGGCAAUUUUUGUUUUUUGAUGUCUUCCCAUUAUCUCAACUCUUAAACUUUAUGUUUCUUCUUUAACUAAUAUCUAGAUGUUAUUAUCAAUUUUUAAUAUACUCAAGUUUCAUCAAAACACUAUCCAAUUUGGUAAUAUUAUUAACAAUCUUUAAUAUUUUUCACUGAAUACCGGAUAACAUUUUUCAAGAAAAUAUUGUCUAUUGUCCAGAAAAGAAAGUCAUUUUUUGUGAAUUAUUUUCUGGAAACUGACUUCUGUCAUUACCAAACACACCCUUAACGUGAUUCUCGCAUUAUAUUAUCUCUUCUUGACGUGAUUUUUGCUUCUUUGGUCGAUGAGGUUACCAUGGCAGUCAGUCUGUCCAGGGAGGUUGAAAGUCAUGUUUCUGUCUCUGCAUGGACUAAAGUACAUGGUUCGUCUGGAUGAGAGAUUCUGUGACAGGUUUUUAUAGUUCUGGUGAAAGAGUUUCCUUGCCGGUUCUGUCACUUGUUUGCUAUCAAGUGUUGCAGUUGCUGAUGCAGAGUUACAAAUUCCUCCAAUUUUCAUGGCUCAUACUUGAGGUAUCAGUUCAGUUGUAGCACGCAUACCAUAUUCAAAAAGUUUGCAACUUCCAAUCAGCAGGUGAUGAGUCCUCUUGAUUCAAGGGCUCGAGUCAGUCAUAUAGUUUGAGCAGUAUUUUAUUUUUAUUUAUUCAGUCGUAUUGAUUUGGGAUAGCUGGGGGUCAUGUCUCGACUACCUAUAGUCAAUACUAGUAGAGGCUUCAUAGACAGUCAGUAGAGUUAAUGUAUUGAUUCCAGUGUUAUUUUGUAAAAUAAGAGUUAUAAUUAUUUUUAAUUUAGUUCUGUAUUUUGUAAAAUGAUCAUUCUUCAAUUACCACUGGAUAUUUAUUGUAAUGCAAAACAUAGUCUUGAGUAUGUUUUAGAUACCCCAAAACUCUUUUCACUGCCAUUCAAU